GACGAACGCUGGCGGCGUGCUUAACACAUGCAAGUCGAACGGAAAGGCCCUGCUUUUGUGGGGUGCUCGAGUGGCGAACGGGUGAGUAACACGUGAGUAACCUGCCCUUGACUUUGGGAUAACUUCAGGAAACUGGGGCUAAUACCGGAUAGGAGCUCCUGCUGCAUGGUGGGGGUUGGAAAGUUUCGGCGGUUGGGGAUGGACUCGCGGCUUAUCAGCUUGUUGGUGGGGGAGUGGCUUACCAAGGCUUUGACGGGUAGCCGGCCUGAGAGGGUGACCGGCCACAUUGGGACUGAGAUACGGCCCAGACUCGUACGGGGGGCAGCAGUGGGGAAUAUUGCACAAUGGGCGGAAGCCUGAUGCAGCAACGCCGCGUGCGGGAUGACGGCCUUCGGGUUGUAAACCGAUUUCGCCUGUGACGAAGCGUGAGUGACGGUAAUGGGUAAAGAAGCACCGGCUAACUACGUG
Molecule: ribosomal RNA, 468 nt
Filed under: uncultured bacterium
Lineage: Bacteria
Description: partial 16S ribosomal RNA
Rfam family: Bacterial small subunit ribosomal RNA
Source: RNAcentral